Long non-coding RNA from Bombyx mori (domestic silkworm), 1024 nucleotides. RefSeq lists it as uncharacterized. The transcript has 3 exons. Lineage: Eukaryota; Metazoa; Arthropoda; Insecta; Lepidoptera; Bombycidae. The record is from RefSeq and is a predicted model, not a curated record.
GUAGUAGCUUAUCGCGGAGAAGCAGUAGAAGUAGCGAGGCUAGGUUUGAGUAAGCAGCUCAUUCAUCAAUCGAUCUUUUGACAUUCAAGUCGGUGAGUUCCACUAAUAACUAGACGUCAGGUGUGCUGUGAACGCGUUUGCUAAUUUAGUACAUUAAAACUUCCUCCUGGCUGAGCCUUUGCUCGCCCACCUGUCCUGGUGAAACUGGAAAGGACUACGAAAAAAAAACAUGAAAACAUUUAUUAUUAACAAAGGCAAAAAAUUAAAAAGGACAUCUACCGGAACAAACCAACUAGAAGUUUUUUAAUGUCCUAGUGACAAGCUAUAGAUUGGACCUGCCUUUUGUGUUCGAAGACCUUUUAAUAGCGUAGCUCCGGAAAAUUCGGAGUCAGACCGGACCGAGAUGCUCAGACACACACAUAAACGUUACUUAAUAUUGGUACCGAAUAUUUCGACUCAAAAUAGAAGUCUCUGCAGCUGAUCACCAAACACGAAAGCGUGGAAACAUCCAGCCCGCGUUGGAAAUGAGGUUAAAGUCACAAUUUUAUUGCCAAAAACUUCAUUCACUAUACCUACCUCUAAAUCCAACCAAAGGAGAUCUUAAGCUAUUAGUAGUUACGGUGUCAUUUUAAUUUUAUUAACCGCAGUUUGUUAAUACUUUCAGUAACUGCUGCCAUCUGUUGUUUCGAUAUAAAAACUGACUAGAACUCGACUAGAAGCACUUAUUCAGUUUUAUGAUAUCCUGGUGGCAUCUUGAAGAGUUGACGCGUGUUCGGAGUAUCGAGUGUGCGCCCAACGAGAUCUUUCAAUUAACAUUGUGAAGUGAUCACUCCCGUUGGCCUCUUAGAAACCAUUAAGGGACCCUACUGCUGGAGAGGACGAGGACUUGGAGAACUUGGAUCUAAAUAAGCAAAUUAGUUAUGGAAUCCAAAAGUGGCUUCAUUCAUGUUGUGACUCCUAUGGGUUCCGGCCGCCACUUAAUGAAGAACUCGUUCUCUCCACUCCGCGAAGAAUAAAUAAUAAA